RNAcentral lists this ribosomal RNA (1083 nucleotides) under Triticum aestivum (bread wheat). RNAcentral describes it as "partial small subunit ribosomal RNA". The record is from RNAcentral. Lineage: Eukaryota; Viridiplantae; Streptophyta; Magnoliopsida; Poales; Poaceae.
AUGGCUCAUGCACUGAUGAUUGCCGCCUCUCUUCUGCCCCACUUUUGGGCUGAGACUGUUUCUGCAUCCACCUAUCUCAUCAGCAUUCGGCCAUCGACUGCUCUGCAGGGUGGUAUUCCUUUGGAGUGUCUCUUUGGUCACUCUCCUGACUACUCAGCUCUUCGUAUGUUUGGAUGUGUGUGCUACAUCCUUCUUGCCCCGCGCGAGCGCACCAAACCGACUGCUCAGUCGGUUGAGUGUGUUUUCCUUGGCUACAGUGAUGAGCACAAGGGCUAUCGCUGUUGCGACCCUGUUGGUCGUCGCUUGCGCAUCUCGCGUGAUGUGACCUUUGACGAGUCUCGCUCUUACUACCCACGUCCAUCUUCCUCGAGCUUCUCUGUGGACGACAUUUCUUUUCUUCUCCUUCCCGAUACACCCUGCUAUGUGCGUCAUGUUUCACCUCUUCCUCCUACACCUCUCAUUCAUUCUCAUUCACCACCGACACCAUCUUCUCCAUCCUCCUCCUCCACCUCUACACCAUCAUCUCCAGUCCGUCGCCCUCUCUCACCGUUUCCUCUCCACUAUACUCAUCGCCCUCGUACUGAGGAUGCCUCUCCUGACGUGCCUGACGCGCCUUCCACCUCUGGUGCACCUCCGUUCACGCCUACCCCGGUUCAUAACCUCCGUGCUAGGCCUCGCCCUCCGCUUGAUCGCUAUUCUCUUGAACGGUACAGUCUCUCUGUUAUUGCUGAGCCCACUUCCUAUCAGACUGCCAUGACUCAGCCUGAAUGGCAGCUUGCGAUGGCCGAAGAGCUUGCUGCCCUUGAGCGCUCUGGCACAUGGGAUCUGGUUUCCCUCCCUUCCGGUGUUUGUCCCAUCACCUGCAAGUGGGUCUACAAGAUCAAGACUCGCUCCGAUGGUUCUCUUGAGCGUUACAAAGCUCGUCUUGUGGCCCGUAGCUUUCAGCAGGAGCAGGGACGCGAUUAUGAUGAGACAUUCGCUCCUAUGACCCACAUGACCACUGUCCGCACUCUCCUUGCUGUGGCUUCUGUUCGUCAUUGGUCUAUCUCUCAACUUGAUGUCCAGAACGCCUUUCUCAAUGGC